Molecule: ribosomal RNA, 1439 nt
Filed under: uncultured bacterium
Lineage: Bacteria
Description: bacterial SSU rRNA
Rfam family: Bacterial small subunit ribosomal RNA
Source: RNAcentral
AGAGUUUGAUCAUGGCUCAGAACGUACGCUGGCGGCACGCCUAACACAUGCAAGUCGAACGAAGUAGCAAUACUUAGUGGCAGACGGGUGAGUAACAUGUAGGUAUCUGCCCUUUGGCCUGGAAUAACACGAGGAAACUUGUGCUAAUACUGGAUAAGUCUUUACGGAGAAAGCUUUAUGCACCAUUGGAUGAGCCUGCACUUGAUUAGUUUGUUGGUGGGGUAAUGGCCUACCAAGACUUUGAUCAAUAGCUGAUUUGAGAGGAUGAUCAGCCACAUUGGGACUGAGACACGGCCCAAACUCCUACGGGAGGCAGCAGUGGGGAAUCUUGCACAAUGGAGGAAACUCUGAUGCAGCGAUGCCGCGUGAGUGAAGAAGGCCUUUGGGUUGUAAAGCUCUUUCGUCGGGGAAGAAAAUGACUGUACCCGAAUAAGAAGGUCCGGCUAACUUCGUGCCAGCAGCCGCGGUAAUACGAAGGGACCUAGCGUAGUUCGGAAUUACUGGGCUUAAAGAGUUCGUAGGUGGUUGAAAAAGUUGGUGGUGAAAUCCCAGAGCUUAACUCUGGAACUGCCAUCAAAACUUUUCAGCUAGAGUUUGAUAGAGGAAAGCAGAAUUUCUAGUGUAGAGGUGAAAUUCGUAGAUAUUAGAAAGAAUACCGAUUGCGAAGGCAGCUUUCUGGAUCAAUACUGACACUGAGGAACGAAAGCAUGGGUAGCGAAGAGGAUUAGAUACCCUCGUAGUCCAUGCCGUAAACGAUGUGUGUUAGACGUUGGAAAUUUAUUUUCAGUGUCGCAGCGAAAGCGAUAAACACACCGCCUGGGGAGUACGACCGCAAGGUUAAAACUCAAAUGAAUUGACGGGGACCCGCACAAGUAGUGGAGCAUGUGGUUUAAUUCGAAGAUACGCGCAGAACCUUACCAACACUUGACAUGUUCGUCGCGACUUUAAGAGAUUAAAGUUUUCGGUUCGGCCGGACGAAACACAGGUGCUGCAUGGCUGUCGUCAGCUCGUGUCGUGAGAUGUUGGGUUAAGUCCCGCAACGAGCGCAACCCUCACUUUUAGUUGCCAUCAUUAAGUUGGGCACUCUGAAAGAACUGCCAGUGAUAAGCUGGAGGAAGGUGGGGAUGACGUCAAGUCCUCAUGGCCCUUACGUGUUGGGCUACACACGUGCUACAAUGGUAUCUACAACAGGAAGCAAGACGGCGACGUUAAGCAAAUCCUUAAAAGAUACCUCAGUUCGGAUUGUACUCUGCAACUCGAGUACAUGAAGCUGGAAUUACUAGUAAUCGUGGAUCAGCGUGCCACGGUGAAUGCGUUCCCGGGUCUUGUACACACCGCCCGUCACACCAUGGGAGUUGGUUCUACCUUAAGGCAAGGUUUAAAACCCUUGACCACGGUAUAGUCAGCGACUGGGGUGAAGUCAUAACAAGGUAGCCGUA